UACGAAGGGGGCUAGCGUUGUUCGGAAUUACUGGGCGUAAAGCGUGCGCAGGCGGCUUCUCAAGUCAGGGGUGAAAGCCCAGAGCUCAACUCUGGAAUUGCCUUUGAGACUGAGUGGCUUGAGUACGAGAGAGGUGAGUGGAAUUCCCAGUGUAGAGGUGAAAUUCGUAGAUAUUGGGAAGAACACCGGUGGCGUAGGCGGCUCACUGGCUCGUAACUGACGCUCAUGCACGACAGCGUGGGGAUCAAAAAGG
This 253-nucleotide ribosomal RNA is filed under the name uncultured bacterium. RNAcentral describes it as "partial 16S ribosomal RNA". It matches the Rfam family "Bacterial small subunit ribosomal RNA", at positions 524 to 776 of the family's 1533-position model. The record is from RNAcentral.